GUACUUUUUUAUCCAAAGAAAAUUGAUUUGUUGAACUUGAAGCUUAUGUGAUGUUGUAUUUGCACUAACUAUUUUCCUUGAUUCGUCUAAUCCUUUUAACAGAUAUAUACUUGUACAGUCUUUGGUGCAAUACCUGUAAUGCCUAUAGACGGACAGAAAGAAGUAGACUUGUCAACAGAAGUUGCAAACUGGUUACCUUCAGGUCUAAAAUCAGUGCUAAAUGGAGGUGUUCAAGCAAACCUUGACAAGCUUGCUAUUUCAGGCCACAGUAGAGGAGGAAAGACAGCAUUUGCGAUCCAAUUUGGAUAUUCUACAGAUGCUCUAACAACAAAAUUCUCUGCACUAGUGGGUCUAGACCCAGU
This 362-nucleotide long non-coding RNA is filed under the name Ricinus communis (castor bean). Its description in RNAcentral is "long non-coding RNA (RCOM_LNC001309)". The record is from RNAcentral. Lineage: Eukaryota; Viridiplantae; Streptophyta; Magnoliopsida; Malpighiales; Euphorbiaceae.